RNAcentral lists this long non-coding RNA (203 nucleotides) under Cyanistes caeruleus (blue tit). Its description in RNAcentral is "lncRNA (ENSCCEG00000004418.1)". Lineage: Eukaryota; Metazoa; Chordata; Aves; Passeriformes; Paridae. The record is from RNAcentral.
UUAAUUAACUGUAGGCAAGACUUGGGACCUGGCAGCUAUCUGACUUCUCCCUCCACUGAAAUUAGUGAGACUGCCCAAGUUCAGAGAGCUUCAGAAGAGGAGUUCAGGCUCAGAACUGAAUUUGUCAAUUAUUCACAGGUAUGUCCUGAGAGCUACUGAGCUCCUCAGCACAGAUAUUCAGCAAUUUGUAAAAUGAAGCUCCU